RNAcentral lists this small nucleolar RNA (360 nucleotides) under Trichophyton rubrum BMU01672. RNAcentral's name for it is "HACA-box snoRNA". The record is from RNAcentral. Lineage: Eukaryota; Fungi; Ascomycota; Eurotiomycetes; Onygenales; Arthrodermataceae.
GGCCGAUAUCCUCGGUUUUAACCCAGAGCUUUGAACACCACCCAGAGCUGCAGAGAUGAACACUCAAACAGCACAGGUCACAAGUAGCGUGUGUUGAAGCAAUACCAUCAUCCUCCUUAACUUCACACUUUUCUGGGCCUCGUGUCUAGGAAUUGGUGACUGGAAAGAGAUGGAUGAUAGUAUCGUUGAUCGCAUCUACUGGUCUCUUGUGCUGCUGGAUGUUCACGCUCACAUCCCUGGGCAGUACUAAAGGCAGAGGGGUUAAAGAUCCGCAGAUAUCAGCUGUCUAGACGUAUUCCAUGCAUUGAAUUCAGCCAGAGUCCCCUUGGCCAAUUUGAGAUACAGUCUAAGAUACAUACA